This 497-nucleotide ribosomal RNA is filed under the name uncultured bacterium. RNAcentral describes it as "partial 16S ribosomal RNA". It matches the Rfam family "Bacterial small subunit ribosomal RNA", at positions 28 to 507 of the family's 1533-position model. The record is from RNAcentral.
GAUGAACGCUGGCGGCGUGCCUAAUACAUGCAAGUCGAGCGAACAGACGAGGAGCUUGCUCCUCUGACGUUAGCGGCGGACGGGUGAGUAACACGUGGAUAACCUACCUAUAAGACUGGGAUAACUUCGGGAAACCGGAGCUAAUACCGGGUAAUAUAUUGAACCGCAUGGUUCAAUAGUGAAAGACGGUUUUGCUGUCACUUAUAGAUGGAUCCGCGCCGCAUUAGCUAGUUGGUAAGGUAACGGCUUACCAAGGCAACGAUGCGUAGCCGACCCGAGAGGGUGAUCGGCCACACUGGAACUGAGACACGGUCCAGACUCCUACGGGAGGCAGCAGUAGGGAAUCUUCCGCAAUGGGCGAAAGCCUGACGGAGCAACGCCGCGUGAGUGAUGAAGGUCUUCGGAUCGUAAAACUCUGUUAUUAGGGAAGAACAAAUGUGUAAGUAACUAUGCACGUCUUGACGGUACCUAAUCAGAAAGCCACGGCUAACUACGUG